This 682-nucleotide ribosomal RNA is filed under the name Citrobacter amalonaticus. Its description in RNAcentral is "partial 23S ribosomal RNA". It matches the Rfam family "Bacterial large subunit ribosomal RNA", at positions 2253 to 2925 of the family's 2925-position model. The record is from RNAcentral. Lineage: Bacteria; Pseudomonadati; Pseudomonadota; Gammaproteobacteria; Enterobacterales; Enterobacteriaceae.
AGUGUCUGGUGGGUAGUUUGACUGGGGCGGUCUCCUCCUAAAGAGUAACGGAGGAGCACGAAGGUUAGCUAAUCCUGGUCGGACAUCAGGAGGUUAGUGCAAAGGCAUAAGCUAGCUUGACUGCGAGCGUGACGGCGCGAGCAGGUGCGAAAGCAGGUCUUAGUGAUCCGGUGGUUCUGAAUGGAAGGGCCAUCGCUCAACGGAUAAAAGGUACUCCGGGGAUAACAGGCUGAUACCGCCCAAGAGUUCAUAUCGACGGCGGUGUUUGGCACCUCGAUGUCGGCUCAUCACAUCCUGGGGCUGAAGUAGGUCCCAAGGGUAUGGCUGUUCGCCAUUUAAAGUGGUACGCGAGCUGGGUUUAGAACGUCGUGAGACAGUUCGGUCCCUAUCUGCCGUGGGCGCUGGAGAAUUGAGGGGGGCUGCUCCUAGUACGAGAGGACCGGAGUGGACGCAUCACUGGUGUUCGGGUUGUCAUGCCAAUGGCACUGCCCGGUAGCUAAAUGCGGAAGAGAUAAGUGCUGAAAGCAUCUAAGCACGAAACUUGCCCCGAGAUGAGUUCUCCCUGACCCUUUAAGGGUCCUGAAGGAACGUUGAAGACGACGACGUUGAUAGGCCGGGUGUGUAAGCGCAGCGAUGCGUUGAGCUAACCGGUACUAAUGAACCGUGAGGCUUAACCUUACAA